Unclassified non-coding RNA from Erinaceus europaeus (western European hedgehog), 320 nucleotides. Its record names the gene 7SK. It matches the Rfam family "7SK RNA". Rfam says of the family: 7SK was discovered as an abundant small nuclear RNA in the mid-70s but a possible function has only recently been suggested. Two independent studies have found that 7SK RNA binds the CDK9/cyclin T complex (known as elongation factor P-TEFb). The record is from Ensembl. Lineage: Eukaryota; Metazoa; Chordata; Mammalia; Eulipotyphla; Erinaceidae.
GGAGAGUGAUGUAUCUAGCUGUGGUGUGUCACCCUGCUAGUGACAUGGGCUGGCUCAGUGGGUCUGGCUGGCUGAGUGGAGUCCUUUCCCACCCUAGCCACUCCGCACACAUUCCUGCCAAGGUUGCAUACUUGGUGGCAAAAGAUGACCUUGGCCAAACAGAGAGAGGGGCCUUCUUCAGUCUAGAGGACACAAGUCACUGUGCUGCCUACUAGAACAUCCCCUACCAGUAGACUCAAGUACAGGUGACAAUGCAACCAAGGCCAAAUGACACCUCCACUCAGGCCCACGCAUCGUGAUUUCCCUGCCCAGCUCUAUUU